UACAAAGGGGGCUAGCGUUGUUCGGAAUCACUGGGCGUAAAGCGCACGUAGGCGGAUCGUUAAGUCGAGGGUGAAAUCCCAGGGCUCAACCCUGGAACUGCCUUCGAUACUGGCGAUCUUCGAGUCCGGGAGAGGUGAGUGGAACUCCGAGUGUAGAGGUGAAAUUCGUAGAUAUUCGCAAGAACACCAGUGGCGAAGGCGGCUCACUGGCCCGGUACUGACGCUGAGGUGCGAAAGCGUGGGGAGCAAACAGG
Molecule: ribosomal RNA, 254 nt
Filed under: uncultured bacterium
Lineage: Bacteria
Description: partial 16S ribosomal RNA
Rfam family: Bacterial small subunit ribosomal RNA
Source: RNAcentral